AAGAUUUUAGGUUAAAAACUAAACUUACAACCUUCAAAGUUGUAGAUAUUAUUAAUAAGAGUAAGUCUUA
Molecule: transfer RNA, 70 nt
Filed under: Deltocephalinae sp. EMHAU-2015-Zz052318
Lineage: Eukaryota; Metazoa; Arthropoda; Insecta; Hemiptera; Cicadellidae
Description: tRNA-Trp
Source: RNAcentral